Molecule: ribosomal RNA, 528 nt
Filed under: uncultured bacterium
Lineage: Bacteria
Description: bacterial SSU rRNA
Rfam family: Bacterial small subunit ribosomal RNA
Source: RNAcentral
GUGUCAAGAAGGCCUCCNGGUGGUAAAGCACUUUCACAGGGNAGGAAGGNUUAUCCUUNAUNCGGAUGAGNACUUGACGUUACCUAGAGAAGAAGCNCCGGCUAAAUNGGAGNCAGCAGCCGCGGUAAUACGAAAGGUGCGAGCGUUAAUCGGAAUUACUGGGCGUAAAGCGCGCGUAGGCGGUUUGCUAAGUCAGAUGUGAAAGCCCCGGGCUCAACCUGGGAACUGCAUUUGAAACUGGCAGGCUAGAAUGCAGUAAGAGGGAGGUGGAAUUUCCGGUGUAGCGGUGAAAUGCGUAGAGAUGGGAAGGAACACCAGUGGCGAAGGCGGCCUCCUGGACUGACAUUGACGCUGAGGUGCGAAAGCGUGGGGAGCAAACAGUAUUAGAUACCCUGGUAGUCCACGCCGUAAACGAUGUCUACUAGUCGUUGGGAAUCUUAGUAUUCUUGGUGACGAAGUUAACGCGAUAAGUGGACCGCCUGGGGAGUACGGCCGCGGGUUAAAACUUAAAUGAAUUGACGGGUGCAA